GACGGUAUUGGUGUAAAGCGUGGAGAAAUGCAAUGGAAAUGAGUCAGUAUAUAUAGUGGUUUGACAGGUCUUAGGGUUUUGGGAUAGAGCAUAUCAGAAAUCUUGAUCAUCACGGUCUGGAUAUCUAAGAAAAUAUUGGAAUCGGUAUAUACCCUUAACAAAUAAGGAUAAUAUCAUUUUAGUUAGAAGAAGUUGACAAAUAUUGAAAGUGGAGAGAAUACUGAAUUGAUAUUCUUACCUUUUUUUAGGAAAG
This 253-nucleotide long non-coding RNA is filed under the name Arabidopsis lyrata. RNAcentral's name for it is "long non-coding RNA (ALYR_LNC001598)". Lineage: Eukaryota; Viridiplantae; Streptophyta; Magnoliopsida; Brassicales; Brassicaceae. The record is from RNAcentral.